AACCUCUCAGGUUCAUAUCUGGAGAGUUUUGAGUACUCUACCAGUCUCAGCUACAGGAGGGAGAGGCAAGCAGAGACAGACCCAUUCCAUUCCUAGCUUGGGCAGUGGCUAGCGAGUAGAAGGCAACCUGCCACAAGU
This is a small nucleolar RNA of Ornithorhynchus anatinus (platypus), 138 nucleotides long. Lineage: Eukaryota; Metazoa; Chordata; Mammalia; Monotremata; Ornithorhynchidae. The record is from RefSeq and is a predicted model, not a curated record.